GGUUCUCUCUUGGUUUAUUGUAAUUUGAUUUGAUUUUUCCUCUAACAUUGCGCGACGAGAGUCGCGAGUAUGCAUGCAUAUAUGACUGAAUUUGAUUGAUGAUAAAAAUGUGUUAAAGGUUGGUGGUGGAGUAGGUAAAAGGGUAAGAGGAGAAGUUCUCAAAAGAAUCAAUAAAAGGGUGGUGGUGGUGGUGAUGCAUAUGAGAUUCCAAAGACAGGUGGUAUAGGCCCUUCAUAUACAGGUGGUGGUGGCGGCGAUGAAUAUACCGGUGGUGGAGGUGAGGGAUAUGCAUAUACUGGUGAUGGUGGGGGUGAGGUGUAUACCGGUGGUGGCGGUGAGGGAUAGGCAUAUACUGGUGAUGGUGGUGGUGAUGGGGAUGGUGGUGGGUGAUAAGGUGUUUGAUGUGGCGCUGGCGAUGAUGGUGGUGGAGGUUCUACACAAGGUGGCGGUGGAGGUGGUGGAGGUUCUACACAAGGUGGUGGAGAUGGCGGUGGUGGUGAAUAGACUGGUGGUGGAGGUGAGUGUACUGGAGGAGGUGGUGGGGGUGAUAAAUAUGGAUAUACGGGUGGAGGAGGUGAGUGAGGUGGUGGUGGUGGCGAA
This 600-nucleotide long non-coding RNA is filed under the name Medicago truncatula (barrel medic). RNAcentral describes it as "long non-coding RNA (MTRU_LNC004521)". Lineage: Eukaryota; Viridiplantae; Streptophyta; Magnoliopsida; Fabales; Fabaceae. The record is from RNAcentral.